This 870-nucleotide ribosomal RNA is filed under the name uncultured candidate division WS6 bacterium. RNAcentral describes it as "bacterial SSU rRNA". It matches the Rfam family "Bacterial small subunit ribosomal RNA", at positions 443 to 1323 of the family's 1533-position model. The record is from RNAcentral.
GGAACAAGUUCUGAGGGUACCAUGAGAAUAAGCACCUGCUAACUACGUGCCAGAAGCAUCGGUGAUACGUAGGGUGCAAGCGUUAUCCGGAAUUACUGGGCAUAAAGAGAUGCGUAGGCGUUUUAAUAAGUCUUUCGUCAAAUCCUGCGGCUUAACUGCAGAAAGGCGAGGGAAACUAUUCAAAUAGAGGCAGAGAGAGGUAGAUGGAACUUCUGGUGGAGCGGUGAAAUGCGUUGAUAUCAGAAAGAACACCAAGUGCGAAGGGCAGUCUACUGGCUCUGUUCUGACGCUAAGGCUCGAAAGCGUGGGGAGCGAAACGGAUUAGAUACCCGUGUAGUCCACGCCGUAAACGAUGGAUAUUAGAUGCUUGAUUCAGUGUUUAGCUCCGGCUGAGUGCUGAGUUGAGUGUUGCAGCUAACGCAGUAAAUAUCCCGCCUGGGGAGUACGACCGCAAGGUUAAAACUCAAAGGAAUUGACGGGGACCCGCACAAGCGGUGGAGCGUGUGGUUUAAUCCGAUGAUAAGCGUAGUACCUCACCAGGGUUUGAAAUGUAUCUGCAAGCUUUCCGAAAGGUUAGCCUCCUUCGAGGGUGAUACACAGGUGCUGCAUGGCUGUCGUCAGCUCGUGUCGUGAGAUGUUGGGUUAAGUCCCUUAACGAGCGCAACCCCUAUCCAAUGUUAUAUUGUCUCUGGAGACCGCCCUGCUUAAACGGGGAGGAAGGCGGGGAUGACGUCCAGUCGUCAUAGCCCUUAUGUCCUGGGCAACACACGCGCUACAAUGGUCAGCACAGAAGGUAGCCAAACGGUAACGUGGAGCCAAUCCUCAAAACUGAUCGCAGUUCGGAUUGUGGGCUGAAACUCGCCCACAUGA